CAAUAGCGUAUAUUAAAGUUGUUGCGGUUAAAAAGCUCGUAGUUGGAUUUCUGCCGAGGACGACCGGUCCGCCCUCUGGGUGAGUAUCUGGUUCGGCCUGGGCAUCUUCUUGGAGAACGUAUCUGCACUUGACUGUGUGGUGCGGUAUCCAGGACUUUUACUUUGAGAAAAUUAGAGUGUUCAAAGCAGGUUCUCGCCUGAAUAUUACUCUUGGAAUAAUGAUAUAGGACUCAGGUUCAUAUUUGUUGGUGAUCUGGACCUGAGUAAUGAUUGAUAGGGACGGUUGGGGUCAUUCGUACUGCAAAGCGAGAGGUGAAAUUCUUGGACCUUUGUAUGACGAACAACUGCGAAAGCAUUUGGCUAGGACGUUCCCGUUGAUCAAGAACGAAAGUUGGGGGAUCGAAGACGAUUAGAUACCAU
This 420-nucleotide ribosomal RNA is filed under the name uncultured eukaryote. Its description in RNAcentral is "bacterial SSU rRNA". It matches the Rfam family "Eukaryotic small subunit ribosomal RNA", at positions 592 to 1018 of the family's 1831-position model. The record is from RNAcentral.